AGGGUUUGAUCCUGGCUCAGAACGUACGCUGGCGGCACGCCUAAUACAUGCAAGUCGAACGAAGUAGCAAUACUUAGUGGCAGACGGGUGAGUAACAUGUAGGUAUCUACCCUUUGGCCUGGAAUAACACGAGGAAACUUGUGCUAAUACCGGAUAAGUCUUUACGGAGAAAGCUUUAUGCACCAUUGGAUGAGCCUGCACUUGAUUAGUUUGUUGGUGGGGUAAUGGCCUACCAAGACAAUGAUCAAUAGCUGAUUUGAGAGGAUGAUCAGCCACAUUGGGACUGAGACACGGCCCAAACUCCUACGGGAGGCAGCAGUAGGGAAUCUUGCACAAUGGAGGAAACUCUGAUGCAGCGAUGCCGCGUGAGUGAAGAAGGCCUUUGGGUUGUAAAGCUCUUUCGUCGGGGAAGAAAAUGACUGUACCCGAAUAAGAAGGUCCGGCUAACUUCGUGCCAGCAGCCGCGGUAAUACGAAGGGACCUAGCGUAGUUCGGAAUUACUGGGCUUAAAGAGUUCGUAGGUGGUUAAAAAAGUUGGUGGUGAAAUCCCAGAGCUUAACUCUGGAACUGCCAUCAAAACUUUUUAGCUAGAGUAUGAUAGAGGAAAG
RNAcentral lists this ribosomal RNA (608 nucleotides) under uncultured bacterium. RNAcentral describes it as "bacterial SSU rRNA". It matches the Rfam family "Bacterial small subunit ribosomal RNA", at positions 8 to 661 of the family's 1533-position model. The record is from RNAcentral.